UUCUCUCUUCUUGCUCACAUGAACACGAAAGAGGUUAUCUUGAACAUGUUUUCGCUCAAGUUUGAAACAGUAUUGUUUAGUGUUACUCUUCCUUCAAGCUAUGUUAAGGUUUAAAGCUAUUUAAUGGGUUGAAAGUGUAGUUAGGCCAUUGGAGAUACCAAAACAGCUAUCAAACUUUUUGAUAUGUUAAAGCUUCAUGUUUCCAACAACUAAUGGUUGUUCUAUCCUAAAACUUUUGGUAUGUACUUUAAGCAUAAACUUUAUAUUGUCAUUCAUGGUGUUAAACAAUGUGAUUAGAGUAGAAGUUCAACAUUGCUAUGUUGUAACUUAGUUUCAGUUUGAAUCUGUUUGUGUGUUUCUCGAGGCCUUUUUUAAGCAAGCCGCAUAGUAUAAACUCUAACUUUUGGGUGUUGUAGACUGUUUUAGGUUGAUUUCUAGGAUUAUUUAGGUUGAAGGUAGCCUUCAUUAGGGUUUUUAUUGUCAUCUUUUUGGUGUAAAUUAGGACGAAAAUCAUGUUAAAUGACUACACUGUUGUUUUUCUCAUUUUACCUGAACAUGGUUUCAUAAAAUUACUUUCUUGCCUGUUAUACGUCUUUAUCUAAUCUCAGUGCUAUAAAAUUAUUUUCGUGUUCACCUUCGUUUGUUAUCAAAAUAUGUUGUUAAAUAA
Molecule: long non-coding RNA, 667 nt
Filed under: Helianthus annuus (common sunflower)
Lineage: Eukaryota; Viridiplantae; Streptophyta; Magnoliopsida; Asterales; Asteraceae
Description: sRNA HanXRQr2_Chr16g0733371
Source: RNAcentral